Molecule: transfer RNA, 73 nt
Filed under: Felis catus (domestic cat)
Lineage: Eukaryota; Metazoa; Chordata; Mammalia; Carnivora; Felidae
Rfam family: tRNA
About the family: Transfer RNA (tRNA) molecules are approximately 80 nucleotides in length. Their secondary structure includes four short double-helical elements and three loops (D, anti-codon, and T loops).
Source: Rfam by way of RNAcentral
GCCUGGCCAGCUCAGCUGGAAGAGCAUGUAACUCUUGAUCUCUGGGUUGUGAGUUCAAGUCCCACGUUAGGCA